This 61-nucleotide microRNA precursor is filed under the name Bactrocera dorsalis (oriental fruit fly). RNAcentral describes it as "microRNA bdo-mir-970 precursor". Its record names the gene bdo-mir-970. It matches the Rfam family "mir-970 microRNA precursor family", at positions 8 to 68 of the family's 74-position model. Lineage: Eukaryota; Metazoa; Arthropoda; Insecta; Diptera; Tephritidae. The record is from miRBase by way of RNAcentral.
AGCUGGCGUUUGUUUUAUUUGGUAGCAGUGAUUGAAACUAUCAUAAGACACACGCGGCUAU